UAGAUUCAGAGGAAAUCGAUCGAGAGAUCGGGUGGGUGUCAUAGAGAGCGAUAGACACAGACAAAAAGAGACAGAGAGAGAGGUUAUUUGCUCUGCAACGCAAGCCCGAAGGAAUCAUACAUAAACCGGCAAGACAAACAGAUCGAAAUUCAUGAAGGUCAAAUUAACAACAAGAAAACCCAUCGCUUCAGCUUUUGGGUUUUGGUUUAUUUUCUGGACACAGAGAAAGAUAGAGCGAAGUAAACAGGGGAAGAAGGGGGAGAAGAAGAGGCCCUCCCUUCAAAAUGUCCAUCAGUAGUGUGGAGUUUGCCAUCGGAGGCUUAAUCGUGGAUACCAAGGUGUUCUAUGGCCAAGAAAGGUCUUUUGCUAUGGAUUUCUGUGUGCUUAGCUUUGCUAAUUGAAGAAGAUGAAUGGGAAAAUGAGCUCUUCUUCAGCUUCAGAAGCAAGUCUGAUAUAAAGAGAAUAAAGGUGAGGCUAGGGACGAUUAAGAAGAAGAGGAACGCUGUGCUGAAGUAUCUGAAGAAUAAUGUUGCUCAUCUUCUCAAGAUUGGCCUUGAUAUUAAUGUAUAUGGAGGGGUGGAGCUGGGAGCAGCACAGCAGUUCAAAAAGUCAUGCCUGCUGCUCUAGCAGAUAUGACAUAAAGCAUACUUUCAACAAAUUGAAGAUGUUCAGAAAUAUUCAAAGGCUUUAACGGACAUGAAAAGGGAGUUCUUUCCAAACAAAAGACAUGAAUGAGCUGUUAGAGUUCCACAAGAAUUAGAUUCCAUUCUUGAACAUUUGAUUGGUUGAGACAUAGGUUUUAUCAAGGUUUGAAGGAAUCACUACAAAGAAGUUAAGAACUAUGAGGACAACAGCAGCACUCCACUCAUAAUUAAAUGCAAUGAUCACAGAACUACACAUUUGGAAAAUAGAGGCUCCCCUUUUGUCUGCUCAUUAAGAAGACUGAGCGUUAUUUCACCAAGAUCAGAAGGAAAAAUAGGUAAACCGGAGCAAACAAAAGAUGAAGAAAUUAAGAAAUUUCAGUCAAAAGACCCACCGACUUCAAUAUCCUCAUCCGGGUAAGAGAAGUUGCAUGGAGCUGGCGCUAAAGAGUAGUUCAACCUUAUGUUGUUGCAGGAAAUAAGAGAAGUACAGACCAGUGGAGAGGCGUAGGCUACUGGAACCCAAAAUUAUAAGAAGCAAUUCGAAGGAUGCGCUAAAAUCUCAAAAAUGCUCUGGAGGACAUUUCAGUAUGCGUUUAAGUUUGAGAGGAGAGCGAAGAGUUGAGAGGAAUAAUAGAGACCCCAGUGCUCACCACGAUAUCAACUAUUGAAGCUUCAACGUGCUAGAACUAGAAGGAAUGAGGAUGACCCGUAUGAGAAUAUGGAUGCCAAAAUCAACUGGGCUUUAGAGCAGGCCUUCAAUUUGAAGCUUGAUUUCAGUGAGACUGGGGAUGAUUUUGUUGUUUUUCGAAGACUGAUGCCGGAAUGAUGCUCAGGUAUGUACUAGAGAAACUCAAAGAGGGUUACAUUGAAGGAUUUAUAAAAAAUGGUUGCAUGUAAAACCCUCCUUUGAUGCUCUUAGAUAUUCUGGUGUUGGCUUCUCCAGUUCCGAAAUCUGUUAUUGGAUAUUCAUGUGGAGUUUAGAGAGAAGUACAAGAAGGAACAUCCCAGCAACAAAUCGGGGAGAGCUCCCUACCCGGCCAAGGCAGAGAAGAGAGGUUGAAUAGAACAACAUGGAAGUUUAUAACAAGAAACGAGUGUUUCUGUUUUAAUUGUUAAUCUCUGGGAAAUAUUGGUAUGAUCACUGAACACUGUACAGUGGAAUCUGUUAAAGGGUUGAAAGUUGUGUCACUCUGUUGUGACUAUUUCAGUCACCAACAACAAAAGGCUACCUCCAAACUGACCCUCUCCUUACAACACAGCAAGAGUAGUAGAGGAAAUGAACUGCUUGAAGAUGGUUGUAGGUCAUGUGCUAUCUCUCACUAUUCUUGCAUUUUUUUGCAGUUUUUGUGCCCGUGAGGCAUAAGCUCCUCCACUGGUUGCUGCUUCGGAUUGUGAGAGAAUAAUUACCGUGCUUCGGGUGGUUUUGGGUUUAUAGUUAUCUCUCAAGGAAUGAGCUUUUCCUUUGUAAAGGUCUGAUUCUCAAUUUCUAACAAUGCAAGUAAUUUGAAUAUGUGUGUAUUUUUGAAUGAACCCUACA
Molecule: long non-coding RNA, 2181 nt
Organism: Rosa rugosa (rugosa rose)
Lineage: Eukaryota; Viridiplantae; Streptophyta; Magnoliopsida; Rosales; Rosaceae
Exons: 13
Source: RefSeq, a predicted model, not a curated record